AAUUCUCAACCCCUCUCGAUUUGCUUCGAGGGGGAGCUUGGAUAGUGGGGGCUGCCAGAGACCUGGACUUGCGUCGAGGACUUGGGCUCUCCUGAAAUGCAUUCGGCUUGCGAUCGACUUUCGACUUUGCGCGACAAGGCUUUCGGUGUGAUAAUGAUCGCCGUCUUCCGAAGCGCAUGAAGGGAAGGUCUCAUGCCUCCAACAUGUCGACGGCGACGUCUUCCUUCUUUAU
This 232-nucleotide unclassified non-coding RNA is filed under the name uncultured Chroogomphus. RNAcentral describes it as "sequence contains ITS2". Lineage: Eukaryota; Fungi; Basidiomycota; Agaricomycetes; Boletales; Gomphidiaceae. The record is from RNAcentral.